GAUGAACGCUGGCGGCGUGCCUAAUACAUGCAAGUAGAACGCUGAAGCUUGGUGCUUGCACCGAGCGGAUGAGUUGCGAACGGGUGAGUAACGCGUAGGUAACCUGCCUGGUAGCGGGGGAUAACUAUUGGAAACGAUAGCUAAUACCGCAUAACAGUAGAUAUUGCAUGAUAUCUGCUUGAAAGGUGCAAAUGCAUCACUACCAGAUGGACCUGCGUUGUAUUAGCUAGUUGGUGAGGUAACGGCUCACCAAGGCGACGAUACAUAGCCGACCUGAGAGGGUGCUCGGCCACACUGGGACUGAGACACGGCCCAGACUCCUACGGGAGGCAGCAGUAGGGAAUCUUCGGCAAUGGGGGGAACCCUGACCGAGCAACGCCGCGUGAGUGAAGAAGGUUUUCGGAUCGUAAAGCUCUGUUGUAAGAGAAGAACGAGUGUGAGAGUGGAAAGUUCACACUGUGACGGUAUCUUACCAGAAAGGGACGGCUAACUACGUG
This 497-nucleotide ribosomal RNA is filed under the name uncultured bacterium. RNAcentral describes it as "partial 16S ribosomal RNA". It matches the Rfam family "Bacterial small subunit ribosomal RNA", at positions 28 to 507 of the family's 1533-position model. The record is from RNAcentral.